RNAcentral lists this ribosomal RNA (255 nucleotides) under uncultured bacterium. Its description in RNAcentral is "partial 16S ribosomal RNA". It matches the Rfam family "Bacterial small subunit ribosomal RNA", at positions 524 to 776 of the family's 1533-position model. The record is from RNAcentral.
UACGUAGGGUGCGAGCGUUAAUCGGAAUUACUGGGCGUAAAGCGUGCGCAGGCGGUAAUGCAAGACAGAUGUGAAAUCCCCGGGCUUAACCUGGGGAACUGCAUUUGUGACUGCAUUGCUGGAGUGCGGCAGAGGGGGAUGGAAUUCCGGCGUGUAGCAGUGAAAUGCGUAGAUAUGCGGAGGAACACCGAUGGCGAAGGCAAUCCCCUGGGCCUGCACUGACGCUCAUGCACGAAAGCGUGGGGAGCAAACAGG